UACGUAGGGUGCGAGCGUUAAUCGGAAUUACUGGGCGUAAAGCGUGCGCAGGCGGUUCGUUGUGUCGGUGGUGAAAGCCCCGGGCUUAACCUGGGAAUGGCCAUGGAAACUGGCGAACUGGAGUGUGGCAGAGGGGGGUGGAAUUCCGCGUGUAGCAGUGAAAUGCGUAGAGAUGCGGAGGAACACCGAUGGCGAAGGCAGCCCCCUGGGCCAAUACUGACGCUCAUGCACGAAAGCGUGGGGAGCAAACAGG
RNAcentral lists this ribosomal RNA (253 nucleotides) under uncultured bacterium. Its description in RNAcentral is "partial 16S ribosomal RNA". It matches the Rfam family "Bacterial small subunit ribosomal RNA", at positions 524 to 776 of the family's 1533-position model. The record is from RNAcentral.